UACAGAGGGGGCAGGCGUUGUUCGGAAUUACUGGGCGUAAAGGGCGCGUAGGCGGCCUUCUAAGUCAGACGUGAAAUCCCUCGGCUCAACCGGGGAACUGCGUCUGAGACUGGAAGGCUUGAAUCCGGGAGAGGGAUGUGGAAUUCCAGGUGUAGCGGUGAAAUGCGUAGAUAUCUGGAGGAACACCGGUGGCGAAGGCGGCAUCCUGGACCGGUAUUGACGCUGAGGCGCGAAAGCCAGGGGAGCAAACGGG
Molecule: ribosomal RNA, 253 nt
Filed under: uncultured bacterium
Lineage: Bacteria
Description: partial 16S ribosomal RNA
Rfam family: Bacterial small subunit ribosomal RNA
Source: RNAcentral